GAUGAGCGCUGGCGGCGUGCUUAACACAUGCAAGUCGAACGAUGAAGCCCAGCUUGCUGGGUGGAUUAGUGGCGAACGGGUGAGUAACACGUGAGUAACCUGCCCUUAACUCUGGGAUAAGCCUGGGAAACUGGGUCUAAUACCGGAUAGGAGCGUCCACCGCAUGGUGGGGGUUGGAAAGAUUUAUCGGUUUUGGAUGGACUCGCGGCCUAUCAGCUUGUUGGUGAGGUAAUGGCUCACCAAGGCGACGACGGGUAGCCGGCCUGAGAGGGUGACCGGCCACACUGGGACUGAGACACGGCCCAGACUCCUACGGGAGGCAGCAGUGGGGAAUAUUGCACAAUGGGCGCAAGCCUGAUGCAGCGACGCCGCGUGAGGGAUGACGGCCUUCGGGUUGUAAACCUCUUUCAGUAGGGAAGAAGCGAAAGUGACGGUACCUGCAGAAGAAGCACCGGCUAACUACGUG
Molecule: ribosomal RNA, 466 nt
Filed under: uncultured bacterium
Lineage: Bacteria
Description: partial 16S ribosomal RNA
Rfam family: Bacterial small subunit ribosomal RNA
Source: RNAcentral